CGCACAUUGCGCCCCUUGGUAUUCCAUGGGGCAUGCCUGUUCGAGCGUCAUUUGUACCCUCAAGCUCUGCUUGGUGUUGGGUGUUUGUCCCGCUGCAUGCGUGGACUCGCCUCAAAACAAUUGGCAGCCGGCAUACUGGUCCUGGAGCGCAGCACAUUUUGCACUUCCAGCCCAGCAUGUUGGCAACCACAAGCCUAAAUUUUUACGCUUGACCUCGGAUCAGGUAGGGAUACCCGCUGAACUUAA
RNAcentral lists this unclassified non-coding RNA (246 nucleotides) under Leptosphaeria sp. RNAcentral's name for it is "partial contains 5.8S ribosomal RNA, internal transcribed spacer 2, and large subunit ribosomal RNA". The record is from RNAcentral. Lineage: Eukaryota; Fungi; Ascomycota; Dothideomycetes; Pleosporales; Leptosphaeriaceae.